GAUGAAGAACGUAGCGAAAUGCGAUAAGUAGUGUGAAUUGCAGAAUUCCGUGAAUCAUCGAAUCUUUGAACGCACAUUGCGCCUUCUGGUAUUCCGGAAGGCAUGCCUGUUCGAGAGUCAUUAACAACCGUUUCGAUCCCUUUCUUUCAGAAAUUACAAAGAGGAAAAGGGUUUGGUUAUGGUGGAGGAGGGAAAGGGAGCGUUUAGCCUGUAAAAAAAGAGGCUGUGUUCCGCCUCCCCCCCAAAAUUGUACAGGCGGUCGUGUGCGCCCACGCAUCGAGGUGUUGUAAAAGCUGCCACGGCACUUUUCACCUGUGCAGUGCGAGAUUGGCCAGCCGGUUUAAACACCCCUCCAAACAAUCAAAGGUUGACCUCGGAUCAGGUAGGGAUACCCGCUGAACUUAAGCAUAUCAAUAAGCGGAGGA
RNAcentral lists this unclassified non-coding RNA (425 nucleotides) under soil metagenome. Its description in RNAcentral is "partial contains 5.8S ribosomal RNA, internal transcribed spacer 2, and large subunit ribosomal RNA". The stretch from base 1 to 120 matches the Rfam family "5.8S ribosomal RNA", at positions 35 to 154 of the family's 154-position model. The record is from RNAcentral.